Molecule: ribosomal RNA, 245 nt
Filed under: uncultured archaeon
Lineage: Archaea
Description: partial 16S ribosomal RNA
Rfam family: Archaeal small subunit ribosomal RNA
Source: RNAcentral
UCCCAGCAGUCCGAGUAGCAGCCACACUUAUUAGGUCUAAAACAUUCGUAGCUGGUGCGACAAGUUUCUUGUGAAAUGGUGUAGCUUAACUGCACCGCGUGCAAGAAAUACUAUCGUGCUAGAGACUGGAAGACGUAAAGAGUACAUUUGAGGUAGCGGUAAAAUGUUUUAAUCUCAGAUGGACUAACAAUGGCGAAGGCACUUUACGAGGACAGUUCUGACAGUGAGGAAUGAAGGCCAGGGGC